CAGUAGCCACGGUAAUACAGAGGGUGCAAGCGUUAAUCGGAAUUACUGGGCGUAAAGCGCACGCAGGCGGUUUGUUAAGUCAGAUGUGAAAUCCCCGAGCUUAACUUGGGAACUGCAUUUGAAACUGGCAAGCUAGAGUCUUGUAGAGGGGGGUAGAAUUCCAGGUGUAGCGGUGAAAUGCGUAGAGAUCUGGAGGAAUACCGGUGGCGAAGGCGGCCCCCUGGACAAAGACAGACGCUCAGGUGCGAAAGCGUGGGGAGCAAACAGGAUUAGAUACCCGCGUAGUCCCUGUCUCUUAUAC
Molecule: ribosomal RNA, 301 nt
Filed under: uncultured bacterium
Lineage: Bacteria
Description: partial 16S ribosomal RNA
Rfam family: Bacterial small subunit ribosomal RNA
Source: RNAcentral